This 763-nucleotide long non-coding RNA is filed under the name Vombatus ursinus (common wombat). Its description in RNAcentral is "lncRNA (ENSVURG00010017602.1)". Lineage: Eukaryota; Metazoa; Chordata; Mammalia; Diprotodontia; Vombatidae. The record is from RNAcentral.
UCUUCAAGGCAGUUCCAAAGCUAAGAAACUGCUGUGUGUGUUUUGCAGAAACAGGUCUUGAGGGAGUACAGUCUAAGGAGUUUAUCUAGAGAUAUUUGUAAUCUCUCCAAAUUAUAGUGCUGGCAUUGAGAUCGUCACCAGGACACUGAAUAGUAUCUUCCUUCAGACAGAGAUUGAGAAGAGGAAAUACCACCACUGUGCAGCCAAGCUGUGCUGAGGACUGAUUGAAAGAAACUGCUGCUCCAGAUGUUGCUCUAGCCAGCUUUCGAAGUGUGAGCAGGUUCAUUUUUCUAAUGAAAACCACAGGGGCAGUGUCUACACUGGCAAGAUGAAGUAGAGAAACAAGCAAUCUGAGUCAUGUAUCCACUAAUGAUUUCAGAUGACUCUUUCCUACAAAAUGUCACCAAUAAUGAACAAGCCAACAGCCCCGGAGAUGGUGGGUCACAAAGGUUGGAGAAAAAGGGAUGAAGCAAGGAAUUUCAUCAAUCAGUGCAUGACUCCCAAAUCCUAUGGUUCAAGUAUGACAGUUGUUGUGUUUCACGCCUUGACUUUGGUGGAGUGUGCCGGAAGCCCAAAAGUGAAUUCGCUUAGUGAGAAUGACUUCACAAUUCAGCACCAGUUUCAACCAGUCAAAAAUGCUGCCGUUUUGGCUUAACUACAGGAAGAGUCUGAAGCUCAUGGUUUCUGUGACAACGCAGGGUCAGGUGACCUGGAUAUGUCCUGCCAAGCUGUUCCUGAGGAAUAAAUAGGCUGUUUGUAAACA